This is a long non-coding RNA of Mauremys mutica (yellowpond turtle), 482 nucleotides long. RefSeq lists it as uncharacterized. The record is from RefSeq and is a predicted model, not a curated record. The transcript has 3 exons. NCBI's taxonomy places the organism in Eukaryota, Metazoa, Chordata, Testudines, Geoemydidae.
UAAAUAUAGGAGAUAAUCUGAGACAAAGAGCUUCUGGUGGGAUGAAACUGACACUCUCAAGGAAGGGACACUGUUCUUGGGAGACAAUAAAGAGAGACAUGCCCAAGUUCUCUGCCAAGGAAUGACAAGCCUCUAGGCUCUUUUGAUCCACUGUGUUUACCUCUAAUCAUAAGCUCCAGAAGGGAAAACUGCAUGCACUGAGUCCAACUGGAUCUGCUGAAUAACCAUAGCUGGUACACAGGCUACUUUAGCCCAGGACCUGGUCUAAGAGUGGAGAAUUGCAGGAUUCCACACCAGACAAGGAGGAAGAUAAGCAGAGACUGAGCUAUAGAAGAUGCACACAGUUUGAAAACUAAUCUAGACCAGUCCCUGGCAGUCAUAUCAGCAGUGAGAUUCUGUACCAACUUCAAUAUAACUGUAGCUGUUUUUCUGGCUUGUCUAACUCAGUGAAAGCAGUAUAAAAUAAUUACAUGCCCUGGUAA